Molecule: ribosomal RNA, 460 nt
Filed under: uncultured bacterium
Lineage: Bacteria
Description: partial 16S ribosomal RNA
Rfam family: Bacterial small subunit ribosomal RNA
Source: RNAcentral
CCUACGGGUGGCAGCAGUGAGGAAUAUUGGUCAAUGGACGCAAGUCUGACCCAGCCAUGCCGCGUGCAGGAAGACGGCUCUAUGGGUUGUAAACUGCUUUUGUACGAGGGUAAACUCCGAUACGCGUAUUUUUCUGAAAGUAUCGUACGAAUAAGGAUCGGCUAACUCCGUGCCAGCAGCCGCGGUAAUACGGAGGAUUCAAGCGUUAUCCGGAUUUAUUGGGUUUAAGGGGUGCGUAGGCGGUCGGAUAAGUUAGAGGUGAAAUCCCGAGGCUCAACUUCGGAAUUACUUCUGAAACUGUUAGGCUAGAGAGUAGUGGAGGUAGGCGGAAUGUAUGGUGUAGCGGUGAAAUGCUUAGAGAUCAUACAGAACACCGAUUGCGAAGGCAGCUUACCAAGCUACGUCUGACGUUGAGGCACGAAAGCGUGGGGAGCAAACAGGAUUAGAUACCCGAGUAGUC